Molecule: ribosomal RNA, 699 nt
Filed under: Boloceroides mcmurrichi
Lineage: Eukaryota; Metazoa; Cnidaria; Anthozoa; Actiniaria; Boloceroididae
Description: partial 16S ribosomal RNA
Rfam family: Bacterial large subunit ribosomal RNA
Source: RNAcentral
AACAUAACCCUCUGCCAAAGCGCAGGCUAAAGUAUGGGGGGGGUGGCCUGCCCUAUGGCUGUAUCCGAANGGGGGGGGGGGCUAGGGCCAACCCCAUAAGGGCAGUUAAAUGGCCGCGGUAACUCUGACCGUGUUAAUGUAGCGAAAUCAAUAGUCAAUUAAUUGUUGGCCGGUAUGAAGGGCAUCACGAAAGCCCCACUGUCUUAAAAGGACUCUCCAUGAAAUUGAAUUCGUAGUGAAGAUGCUACGUCCAUACUGUAAGACGAAAAGACCCCGUAGAGCUUUACUUAAAAUUUGUGGGGCUAAACUUGAAAUAGGAGUUUAGACUAGGUGGGGGCGUUCUGUAAGAUGAAACACCACCCCCUUGUUGAAAAAAAGCUAACCCGACAGGAGAGGGGCAAGUUGGAAAGUUUGGUUGGGGCGACCGCCUUUAAAAAAGUAACGGAGGUGAGCUUAUGGCCCGUGGUUAAUAGCUUGUGGCCUGACUGCGAGGGGCCCCCCCAAGCAGGCACCCCCGGUGGGCUAUAGGGACCCGUCUUCUUGGGGUGAAAAAGGAGGCGCCCGACGGAUAAAAGCUACCUUGGGGAUAACAGCGUUAUCCCGGCAGAGAUCUCUUCGACGCCGGGGUUUGCGACCUCGAUGUUGAAUUGCGGGACCCUGGGGUGCAGCCGCCCCCAAGGGCUGGCCUGUUCGUCCACU